UCAAAGGAAUUGACGGGGCCCGCACAAGCGGUGGAGCAUGUGGUUUAAUUCGAAGCAACGCGAAGAACCUUACCAGGUCUUGACAUCCCCUGACAACCCGAGAGAUCGGGCGUUCCCCCUUCGGGGGACAGGGUGACAGGUGGUGCAUGGUUGUCGUCAGCUCGUGUCGUGAGAUGUUGGGUUAAGUCCCGCAACGAGCGCAACCCUCGACCUUAGUUGCCAGCAUUCAGUUGGGCACUCUAAGGUGACUGCCGGCUAAAAGUCGGAGGAAGGUGGGGAUGACGUCAAGUCCUCAUGGCCCUUAUAGGUGGGGCUACACACGUCAUACAAUGGAUGGUACAAAGGGUCGCCAACCCGCGAGGGGGAGCCAAUCCCAUAAAGCCAUUCGUAGUCCGGAUCGCAGUCUGCAACUCGACUGCGUGAAGUCGGAAUCGCUAGUAAUCGUGGAUCAGAAUGUCACGGCGAAUACGUUCCCGGGUCUU
RNAcentral lists this ribosomal RNA (482 nucleotides) under uncultured Anoxybacillus sp. RNAcentral's name for it is "bacterial SSU rRNA". It matches the Rfam family "Bacterial small subunit ribosomal RNA", at positions 901 to 1382 of the family's 1533-position model. Lineage: Bacteria; Bacillati; Bacillota; Bacilli; Caryophanales; Anoxybacillaceae. The record is from RNAcentral.